UUGCUCAGUUCUUAUUUUUUAAAUUUUCAAAUGACUAUAACUUGAAAACAGUAAGUGAUAGACACACAUGGUUUUUAAGCAGUUAAGCUGCUUUAUGCGAGCACCCUAGAUUUGUGUUCUACCCAAUAAAUGCUGAAAUACGUGCCAUUGUUAUUAUCUAGCUGGCUAAUAUGUUUUUAUAACUAAUUAAACACUUUUUUCAUACUUUUAAUUCUGGAUUACAAAAAAUAUGAGCAGAAAAACCUUAAAUGAUCGUCGAACCACCCAAAAGUUUUGAAGUUGCACAUAGGAAGAAGUGCUCAAUAGAAAUCCUUAUGAAGUUUAUUAUCCCCUGUGCUUUUGGCUAAGUUGUCAAAGAACAAUUGUAUGAAUUAUUUCAUCGCCGAAAAUCUCUAAUUACAAGUUGUUUACAUUUGAAAAAUGGCAAAAAGCGCAGGAAUAUUGUAUAACGGCUGGGACUAAUAUGACACGGAGUUGAAGUCUCAGUUGGCGGUAAUUUUAACUUUGUUGACAAAACGUAAAUCAAGGACGUUUUAAAUUUGGUGGAUUCUGAUAAUACAAAGCUUUAUUCCAAUCUUUGGGAAUGGCUAAUACUAGAAGAGGCAAGGCAUACAUGUACAUGUACAAUACAUGAUUCUCUGUAGCAACUGGAUUGUCUAUUCACCACAAUAAUUCCAUAAUAGCAAUGAAACUCUAAAACUACUAUGAUGUUAUGAAGAUAUUUACAUGUAUAUCAACAUACCGGUAUAUGAUCAAUUUUGAAGAUUGUUUAUGCCAGGUCUCAUCAUGUUGACUAGUCCGACAAGUUUUGGUUCAGCUUUCUGACAGGAAUUAUUAUAAACUUGCCAGCAGUUACAACACAUGAAAAUAGUUGUUAUUAAGUGUGCCUAUCGGUCUAGCAAUUUUUAGAGACUGUUUAACGAUACUUUCAGAACUAUGAUCAUGAUAUGUCAGAAUCUGUGUAACUGUUACUACAAAAGGAGAUAUAUUAUUGUGCACUAAGAAGUAUGCCAAGUUAUCAGAAACUUUUUGCAUGAAGUUAUACAAAGAUAGUUGGAAUUCAUGAUAUUGAUGCAUUGUACACAUGAAAUAUUUUAGUUUAAUUUAUAUUCUAAUUAACAGUCCAAGAGUAAGGUUAAAUUGUACCAAGGAAAAUUACUUAUUACCAUAAUUACACAGCAGUAUUUUGAUUGUGGAUUCUUUUCAAUUUUAUUAUUUACUGAAUGCAUAUUUGUCACUUGUUUAAUUUGAAUUGAAUGCGAACCGAGUUCAAACAAUCUUCUUUUUUUUAUUUCAAAUUGAAUUCAAAGUCUAAUGUGAAUCGAAUUCACUAAUCACGUUCACACACUCUUCUUUUUUUAAUUCAAAUCUAAUUCAAAUUGACUAAUUUGCAUUAUCGAAUUCUCAUUAGAAUUAUGUUUUUUGUUAAUACGAAUUAAUUUAAUUUGAUUAAAUUAAUUCGAUUAAACUCUGGUGUGGACACUUUUUAAAUUGUAAUUUGAAUUAAACUAUAAUAAAUUAAUUGAUAAAUUGAAUUAAAAGUUAACAUCAUUUGGACAGUAAAGUGAUAUUGACUCGUAUUGCAAUUCGAAGUAGAAUUUACUUUUGGACAUUAAACAUGUUAAAUGUUUCGAAUGCAUAUUAAACUAUUUCAAAUCAGUUAAUGCGAAUCAUAAUCGAAUUAUGUGUGAACGCAGCAUUGAUAUAUAUAUCUAAGAAAUGAAGAAUAUGAAAAUAUUAAAAAAAGAUGGACAAAAUAUUUGUAUUAAAUUUGUUGCAAUUUUU
Molecule: long non-coding RNA, 1785 nt
Organism: Mytilus californianus (California mussel)
Lineage: Eukaryota; Metazoa; Mollusca; Bivalvia; Mytilida; Mytilidae
Exons: 2
Source: RefSeq, a predicted model, not a curated record